AGCUGUGGAAGCACAUUUCUUGUGUGACCGCGUACUUUUUGUAGAACGGGCCAACGAGUUACGUUAAGUAGCAAGGUUAAGCACUUAAGGUGCGGAGCCGUAGCGAAAGCGAGUUUUAACUGAGCGUUCAGUUACUUGACGUAGACCCGAAACCGGGCGACCUACCCAUGAGCAGGAUGAAGCGAAAGUAAAAUUUCGUGGAGGUCCGAACCCACGAGCGUUGAAAAGCUCGGGGAUGACUUGUGGGUAGCGGUGAAAUUCCAAUCGAGCCCGGAGAUAGCUGGUUCUCCCCGAAAUAGCUUUAGGGCUAGCCUCAAGGUGAGAGAUACGGAGGUAGAGCACUGAAUGUCCUAGGGGGUAUUGCACCUACCGAAGACUAUCAAACUCCGAAUGCCGUCAUCUUAUACUUGGGAGUCAGACUGUGGGUGAUAAGAUUCAUAGUCGAAAGGGCAACAGCCCAGAUCGUCAGCUAAGGUCCCUAAAUGUAAGUUAAGUGGUAAAGGAUGUGGGAUUGCACAGACAACCAGGAUGUUGGCUUAGAAGCAGCCACUCAUUCAAAGAGUGCGUAAUAGCUCACUGGUCGAGUGAUCCUGCGCCGAAGAUUUCCGGGGCUAAAACUUACUACCGAAGCUACGGCAUCAGUAAUGAUGGGUAGGGGAGCUUCCCAUACGGGUUGAAGCAUGACCGUAAGGACAUGUGGACAGUAUGGGAGUGAGAAUGUUGGCAUGAGUAGCGAGAUGUGGGUGAGAAUCCCACAGGCCGUAAACCCAAGGUUUCCAGGGGAAGGUUCGUCCGCCCUGGGUUAGUCGGGACCUAAGCUGAGGCCGAAAGGCGUAGGUGAUGGACAACAGGUUGAUAUUCCUGUACUACCGAUAACCGUUUGAGAGAAGGGAUGACACAGUAGGAUAAGCUAAGCACACUGUUGGUUAUGUGUGCCCAAGCAUUGAGGCAGUCAAAGUAGGCAAAUCCGCUUUGAUAAUGCUGGGAUGUGAUGGGGAGCGAAAUUUAGUAGCGAAGUAGCUGAUUUCACACUGUCAAGAAAAGUCUCUAUCGAGGUUAAAGGUACCCGUACCGCAAACCGACACAGGUGGGUGAGGAGAGUAUCCUAAGGCCAGCGAGAGAACUGUUGUUAAGGAACUCGGCAAAAUGACCCCGUAACUUAGGGAUAAGGGGUGCCACCAUCAGGUGGCCGCAGAGAAUAGGCCCAAGCGACUGUUUACCAAAAACAUAGGUUUCUGCUAAGUCGCAAGACGAUGUAUAGGAGCUGACGCCUGCCCGGUGCUGGAAGGUUAAGGGGAUCUGUUAGAGCAAUCGAAGCAGUGAACUUAAGCCCCAGUAAACGGCGGCCGUAACUAUAACGGUCCUAAGGUAGCGAAAUUCCUUGUCGGGUAAGUUCCGACCCGCACGAAAGGCGUAACGAUUUGGGCACUGUCUCAACAACAGACUCGGUGAAAUUGUAAUUCCGGUGAAGAUGCCGGAUACCUGCGACAGGACGGAAAGACCCCAUGGAGCUUUACUGUAGCUUGACAUUGGGUCUUGGUACUACAUGUACAGGAUAGGUGGGAGGCUUUGAAACCAGGACGCCAGUUUUGGCGGAGCCAUCCUUGGGAUACCACCCUUGUAGUACUGGGACUCUAACCAUAGGCCAUGAAUCUGGUCUUGGGACACUGUCAGGUGGGCAGUUUGACUGGGGCGGUCGCCUCCCAAAAGGUAACGGAGGCGCUCAAAGGUUCUCUCAGUACGGUCGGAAAUCGUACGUAGAGUGUAAAGGCAAAAGAGAGCUUGAUUGCAAGACAUACAGGUCGAGCAAGGAUGAAAAUCGGACUUAGUGAUCCGGUGGUUCUGCGUGGAAGGGCCAUCGCUCAACGGAUAAAAGCUACCCUGGGGAUAACAGGCUUAUCUCCCCCAAGAGUCCACAUCGACGGGGAGGUUUGGCACCUCGAUGUCGGCUCAUCACAUCCUGGGGCUGUAGUAGGUCCCAAGGGUUGGGCUGUUCGCCCAUUAAAGUGGUACGCGAGCUGGGUUCAGAACGUCGUGAGACAGUUCGGUCCCUAUCCGUCGCAGGCGUAGGAAAUUUGAGAAGACCUGUCCUUAGUACGAGAGGACCGGGAUGGACGUACCUCUGGUGUACCAGUUGUCCUGCCAAGGGCAUGGCUGGGUAGCUAUGUACGGAAUGGAUAAGCGCUGAAAGCAUCUAAGCGCGAAGCCAACUUCAAGAUAAGAUUUCCCACCGCAAGGGUAAGACCCCAGAAAGACUAUCUGGUUGA
This 2267-nucleotide ribosomal RNA is filed under the name Clostridioides difficile. RNAcentral describes it as "bacterial LSU rRNA". It matches the Rfam family "Bacterial large subunit ribosomal RNA", at positions 569 to 2856 of the family's 2925-position model. The record is from RNAcentral. Lineage: Bacteria; Bacillati; Bacillota; Clostridia; Peptostreptococcales; Peptostreptococcaceae.